Molecule: long non-coding RNA, 2754 nt
Filed under: Taeniopygia guttata (zebra finch)
Lineage: Eukaryota; Metazoa; Chordata; Aves; Passeriformes; Estrildidae
Description: lncRNA (ENSTGUG00000021094.1)
Source: RNAcentral
GUGGCGGAGCGGCGGCGGAGGGGUAGCGGCGGAGCCGGAGCGGAGCCGCUGCAGAAAGCCAUCCUCUGAAGGGGUGGCUGUGCAGGUGGGUUCCUGGUUCCCUGUGCCCUCCUGCUGCCGUGCUCCUGGUCUGAUGCUGUGGAUGCUGUCUGCCAGACACUGGACACUGCUGCAGGCAGACUCUUGGGCUGCCUUUGAAGAAGGCAAACUCACCAGUCCUUAACCAAGUAAGAUGGAUGCUCUACAUAAAUUGAAGAUUUUGGUGAUGUUUUUGUCUCUGGCUACUUUCAUGAUCAUGGUGAUAAUGAAUGCUGGAAAUGCCACUGGGAUUUUCAAAGGUCUGUUCAGGACAACCCCUGGAAACAUCUCAGCCAAGUACAGCACAGAUUUCACACCAGCUGGCUGGACUUUCCUCAUCUGGAAUGUCAUCUACGCCUGGCAGCUCGCCUGGCUUCUCUACGCCUUGUCAGGGAUCUGCAGAAGGAAUGAACUUGGAUAUGUCUUCAUGAAGCCAGACUUGCUGCCAAUACCUUUUUAUGUGGCGUGGUGUCUGAAUAAUGGCCUCAAUGUUGGAUGGCUCUUUCUGUGGGACCGAGAAUACCUCCUUCCAGCCCUGGUGUUCCUGGCAGUCCUGUCCCUUACCACAUGUGCCUGCCUGUUUGUCUCCCACCGAGCCUUGAGCAUCCAUUCCUCGUGGUUUGUGAAGGCUAACAAGGCUGAGCUCUGGCUCAUCCGCAUUCUGGUGCAGAACGGGCUGGCUCUGUACCUGACGUGGACCAGCAUCGCCACGCUGCUCAACUUCGCCGUGGUGCUCAUCCACAAGUGGAACGUGCCCAGCGAGAAAGCGACCACUGCUUCCCUGAGCAUCCUGGCUCUCAGCCUGGUGAUAUGGUUUUAUCUAGAAAAUUACCUUCUCGACAAGUACGUCCGCUAUAACCUCACAGUCUACCCCGUGGUCAUAGCAGCUCUGACAGGCAGCGCCUGUGGGAACGGCUCCUUCUCAUCCCCACUGACCAACCACGUUUUCAUAGUUGUUCUGCUGGCACUGACGUGUUUGAUCUUUGCUGUUCGGCUGGGACUGGUUGUGUGGAGACACUGGAAGAGACCACUGGAAGCAUGAGAACCCUGAGGCCCAUCAGGCACAGUGACCUGAGACCUCUGGCACAUUGUGGGUGAUGCUUGAAAGGGAGAAAAAAGAAUUGGGCAUGUGCUGGCUCUUGUUCCUGUAUCCAUUCCCUUCUGCAUUUCUCUCUUAUUCUCUGUUCCAAAUGCAGAUGUCUUGUGUCCGCAAAUGUGUCUUGCUCCCACAUUCUCUCAGAUCAGUUACUCACAACCCUGUCUUGAGUUCCUUUGGUUUUAUCCUGGAAAAGUUCAGGAAAAGCAGCCCUGUGCAGCUUUGUGAUGCCUGGGCUGUGGCUCUCUUCUCCUGCCAGUGCAAGCAGGGCUGCCAACAGGCACCCAGCAGGCCUGCACACACAGUUUUUCCUGUUUUUCCCUUGGUAUCUCACUUUCUUGGAAGUGCAGACCCAAGUGACCUGUCCCUGGGGUUCCAGGUGGGAGAGCUGUCAUUCAUUGCCUUGGCCAUCAGGGCUGAGCAUCCUCAAGCCCUGGUGCUGUCAGCAGAUCUCCUGCAGGCAGCCACUGCUCCUUUCCUGCUUCUCUGCAGCAUGACAGGGGCAGAGACUAGGAUUUGACAUCUGCCUUUGCAGUGUCAGCUCUGCAGUUUGAUGUUCAAGGGGGCAGGGGGAGGGACUGAAGGUUUCUGACACAAAGGUGUUGGUGUUGCCUUUCCCUGAGCUGGGCACAGCUUGGGCUGGCUGGAUGUCUCUCACUGGGGGAGUUUGUGGCUACUCUGGAAGGAGCUCAGAUGUACAGAUGAGCUGGUCCCUGAUCUGGGGUGAAGCCUGAUGCUUCAAAGGAAGCCUGUUAAAAAAAAAAUAAAUAAAAAUUGAACAGGUAGAGCAAGUUCAUCCUGGAUCAGUGCCUUCUCAUGUGGCUUCACCACUUCUGAGUUGGGAUUAGGAAGCCUAAAACUGGAUUGACUGAAUUUUUGGACCACUGCCUUUCCUUCCUGUGCCUAAUUGAGAGCUGGUGGUGCCUCACAGGUGUCUGGAAAGUCUUGGCACCAGGAAGGUGCUUUCAGUGCAUCUUGCAGUAUUAUUAACAAAGCUAAAUUCUAAAAUAACAUGUGCUGUUGUUUACAUUUAGCAAAAAGCAAAAGCAGUGUAAUGCAUCUCCCCUCAUCAUUCUGGUGUGUUGUUUUUUUUUUUUUUUUCUAUUUUUUAAUUUUAAAAUAAGUCAGCUCAUUCUAUCACUCUGCAACUAACUCUGUAAAUCAUCUAAAGCAGCUGUCCUGGCCCCUUCCUCACUCAUGCCCAGGGCUCCAGAGUGACUCUGGUCCCUUGCUGGAAUCUCAUGGAGGUGAAGAGUUGGAGGAUGUAGAUUGCUAGGUAUGAUUUAAACUCCUUUGACCAGCACACUGUUCAUUAAGUUUCUAUUUUAUAGGCUCUGCCUCCCAAGAUCCCAGCUAAUAAAUUCCCAGCAGCCUCUCCCUAAGCUGCCUUCUUUAAUACAGGGGAAUUAAAGCCACUGGCAGGGGGAUUAAGGGGUCCAGGCAAGGUGAGAAGCUGCUGUGAGGCUGUGCAGCAGUUCAUGCAUGGCAGGGUUUUGCAGCCUCCCUCUUGCAGCAAGAGCACUGCAAAGAGCUCCUGGGCCAGGGCAGCUGCACUUUCCCAUUAAAAAAUGCCUUAUCAG